Molecule: long non-coding RNA, 1180 nt
Organism: Maniola jurtina (meadow brown)
Lineage: Eukaryota; Metazoa; Arthropoda; Insecta; Lepidoptera; Nymphalidae
Exons: 2
Source: RefSeq, a predicted model, not a curated record
AAUCUUCAUUUUUCUCUUACAAUCUGGUAACAAGGCUAGGGUGGUUAGUAGCCACGGCCGUAGCCUCUCACCAGACCAACCAGAGACAAUUUAGGAAUUAUAAAUUCCGUAAUUGGCCUUGCCGGAAAUCGAACCCGGGACCUCCCGCUCAUAAGACAGCUCUCACCACUGCACCAGGGUGGUUAUCGCUACUUUAGUGUGAGGAAAGUUUUUUCCUUCACCUGUACCUAAAGUUUUUUUUUUUUUUUAAUAGGCAACCGCUUGACCACAAUCACACCUGAUGGAAAGUGAUGAUGUGGUCUAAGAUGGGACGCGUUUACCUAGGUGCCUAUUCACUCUUGUUUUAAAGAUACCCGGAUUGUAAUUGGUAGGAAACACAGAUCGCGGAAGAGUAAAGUUUUUAAAAUUGAGAUAGGACAUGUUGCCAAUUCACAGUUAAUAUUUAAAAAAUAUUUACACAAAAAUUAAUAAAAUGUAAUAUACCAAAUUCUUGUAAAAGUAAAAUAAUGUGAUGAAUAACCAAAUUCUUUUAAAAGUAAAAUAAUUGUGAUGAUAACAAAACAUGUUAAUUUAAUUACAAUGGGCAAGAUAAUAUUCAUUAAUUGAUUACUGCCCGAGAAAAUGUAUAAUAGAUAUUAUGCAUUCAUUAGCGGAAAUGAUAAGAAUGUACACAAUUCACCAGUGUGGAACGAAAACUGAAUAACUGACAUCUUUGUUAAAAGUAACUCUCACAAAUUAUUGUGAGUUUUUUGUGGGCUCUUCUCAGACUUGGGCGCGUUUGGAACCCUCGCAGCUUUAGUUUUAAGUUACGUAAUUAAUUAUCACCACUAUAUCGUACAAAUUUAACAAUUUCGACCAUCAAAGAGAGUACAAUUUUACCUACUUGGAAUAAAUGAUUUUGACUUUGACUUUGAAAGAAAAAUUAUCUAGGUAGGUAUAUGGGAAGGAACAUAUGUGACAUUGAUACCUUAAACUGAUACAAUUAGGUAUAUAAAUUAUUAUUUGAUUUUAAUUUUCUGGACUCUACUGCAAGUUAUAAGAUUUAAAAAAACUCAGUCAGUAAGGGAACAAACAGAAAAAAAGUUGUAUCAGUUUAAAAUAACAGAGUACUUAUUUAUUUAAUUAUUAAAAUUAUAUACAUAACAAUGACUUCAUUACACCAUUCAUAAUGGAGCUUUAU